Molecule: long non-coding RNA, 1557 nt
Organism: Papaver somniferum (opium poppy)
Lineage: Eukaryota; Viridiplantae; Streptophyta; Magnoliopsida; Ranunculales; Papaveraceae
Exons: 6
Source: RefSeq, a predicted model, not a curated record
UCGUUUUUGAGUGAUCGUCGGCUCACAUUCCCCUAAAAGUGCAAAACACAAAUUGUGGAUGAGAACGCUCCCUCCUUUUACGUCCGAAUCCAACGUCCCAAAUCUCUACUUGCCUUGAUCCUCUUUCGGUUACAAAACCCAUUAUCACCGAUAUCUCAUCGCAUUUAGUCCCGUCUUCUCCUCCAUCAACAAUACCAUUAUUUGUGCCAUUCAACCCCUUUGAUUCAUACAAUGAUAAUGAUGCGUUACAUUAGAAGAGUUAUCCUUUGAAAUUUUCCCUAUAUAAACCUCAACAGAAGUUAUCAUCUUCCCAGGUUUCUCUAUUUCUUUGUUCUGCAUGCUCUAUCAAGGCUAUUAGGGUUUUCCCCUUACCAUCGACAAUUCCAGGUAGAAUGUGCAGAAGAUUUGGGUUUUGAGUUUACCAAGAUUCAAUUCUGCCUUUUGAGCCAUAUCCCUUCCCUUUAUAUGAGGGAUAGGGAAGGGAUGCCUUCUCCCAUUGUGCUUGGCAUCAGUGAUUGUUUUUUACUCCAUUUUUGUGAAUGGUAAUUAAGGUAGUUCGACACACCAGAACCAUUCUGAUGCACUGCACAGGCAAAUUCACCCUCUCCUCAACCGACGUCAACAGAGUGUACACCAACAUUGACUUACCUGAAAUAUUCUAAUGUAAGAAAGGCUGCUAAUGUCGUUGUAUGUAAAGCCCGACCUGCACAUUGACAAAGUCACGACCAAUUAACCAGCUAACCAUUUCCCAGUUACUCUGUAUUUCGAAAUUACUUAUUGAGAAUGGUUGGUGUUAUCUUUCUUUCUAUGGGUGUAACAAGGAAGUUGUCUGAGGAUGCUGACCAUUGAUGCAUAAAAUGUACCUUAUCCACGUUGAAGUUGAUGAUGCAACCAUACUGCCGUUUUUUAUCACUCUUAAAAUCUGCUGGAAUCAUUGAAGAAAGCCGUGCUUUCAGGGUUCUCACACAAAUUCUUCACCAGGAAGAGGAUUUUCAAGGUUCUCAACAACUGCAAGGAUUUUUGUUAGUUACUUCCAAACCAAGAUCUUCUGCAAUUCUUACCUUUUAAAAGCGUCAACAUGAAAAUCUGAUAUUCUCACCUACUGAAGUUCUCAUUCACAAACUGUGACUACUACAAUCAUCUUCACAAAGGGCACAGUCAGUUGUAUCAGACAUGUACACAUUUGACGAACUUUACACAUGUUUUAUGAAGCUACUGGACGAGGUGGGGUGAUGGAUAUAGAGGAUGAGGAGGUGAAGUGGUGGUGCUUGACAACAAAAUGUACAAUUGACAUGUGGUAAUUUUAUGUGCAAGAAACUUUAGUAAACAUUUAUAAAAUAGCGACACAUUAUCUGUUUUGUAAAUUGCCUAUGUAUUGCUCACAUCGGGAGAACUUGAUCUAGGAAAUCACACGUUGCUACUUUUCUGAUUGCCUGUUCGAGGUAAUAAACAACGAUUAGGGUUGUGCAGUUAGUUACCCGGUAAGCAGUUAUCGUUCUAUUGCUCUAAAUCUAUGUGUGUAUACUAUACUAUUUGUUAAUUUACUCGAAUUAGAUA